UCGAUGGAGAGUUUGAUCCUGGCUCAGGACGAACGCUGGCGGCGUGCCUAACACAUGCAAGUCGAACGAGGUUCAGUUGGUAGCAAUACCAGCGAAGACCUAGUGGCGAACGGGUGAGUAGCACGUGAGCAACCUGCCCCGAAGACCGGGACAACACCGGGAAACCGGUGCUAAUACCGGAUACCCCCACCAGAUCGCAUGUUCUGGUGAGGAAAUGGAUUCCGCUUCGGGAGGGGCUCGCGGCCUAUCAGCUUGUUGGUGGGGUAACGGCCUACCAAGGCAUCGACGGGUAGCUGGUCUGAGAGGACGAUCAGCCACACUGGGACUGAGACACGGCCCAGACUCCUACGGGAGGCAGCAGUGGGGAAUCUUGCACAAUGGGCGAAAGCCUGAUGCAGCAACGCCGCGUGAGGGACGAAGGCUUUCUGAGUUGUAAACCUCUUUCAGCAGGGACGAUAAUGACGGUACCUGCAGAAGAAGCCCCGGCCAACUACGUGCCAGCAGCCGCGGUAAUACGUAGGGGGCGAGCGUUGUCCGGAUUCAUUGGGCGUAAAGAGCUCGUAGGCGGCUUGGCAAGUCGGAUGUGAAACCUCCAGGCUUAACCUGGAGCCGCCAUCCGAUACUGCCAUGGCUAGAGUUUGGUAGGGGACCACGGAAUUCCUGGUGUAGCGGUGAAAUGCGCAGAUAUCAGGAGGAACACCAGCGGCGAAGGCGGUGGUCUGGGCCAACACUGACGCUGAGGAGCGAAAGCGUGGGGAGCGAACAGGAUUAGAUACCCUGGUAGUCCACGCCGUAAACGUUGGGCACUAG
RNAcentral lists this ribosomal RNA (810 nucleotides) under Actinomycetota bacterium. RNAcentral's name for it is "bacterial SSU rRNA". It matches the Rfam family "Bacterial small subunit ribosomal RNA", at positions 1 to 819 of the family's 1533-position model. Lineage: Bacteria; Bacillati; Actinomycetota. The record is from RNAcentral.